This 315-nucleotide ribosomal RNA is filed under the name uncultured archaeon. RNAcentral's name for it is "bacterial SSU rRNA". It matches the Rfam family "Archaeal small subunit ribosomal RNA", at positions 1029 to 1343 of the family's 1478-position model. The record is from RNAcentral.
UUAAGUCAGGCAACGAGCGAGACCCACGUCCACAGUUGCCAGCAUAUUCUCCGGAAUGAUGGGUACACUGUGGAGACCGCCGCUGCUAAAGCGGAGGAAGGAGUGGGCAACGGUAGGUCAGUAUGCCCCGAAUCUCCCGGGCUACACGCGGGCUACAAUGGUUGGUACAAUGGGCAUCUACCCCGAAAGGGGAAGGUAAUCUCUUAAAACCAAUCGUAGUUCGGAUUGAGGGCUGCAACUCGCCCACAUGAAGCUGGAAUCCGUAGUAAUCGCGUUUCAACAGAACGCGGUGAAUACGUCCCUGCUCCUUGCACA